CUCAAUAAGACAAUGAAUAAAUUGGUCUGAUAUUGUUGUUGUGUGAAUCUGAAUGUGAGUCUUCCAUAAGAGCCAUAUUCUUCCAUUAAUAGCCCUUGCAUAAUUGCAUUGCCACAUCCAACCUUUUGCAAUUCUAUCAAAGAUCUUCUUAGAUUUAUGCUCCUUAACUCUAGUUUCAAGUAUACCAAUUACAUCUACUUUAUUAUCAGUAAGGAAUUGCUUCAACUCCUUCUGUUUAGGAGACUGAUUAAGUCCCCUUAUAUUCCAAGUGACUACUAUCAUGGAUCAUCAUCAGCUAGACUGUAAGAGGGACCUGGAUCAAAUUGUUGCCCUCCAUUCUUUACUUCCAUAGCUGCUUUGCCUCUAUCCCCUGCAACAUCCACCUGCUCACCACAUUUAGUGGUGACAUCUCUCAGUUGCUCUUCAUUUGUCUGUUGUUCAUGAUGCUGCACACUUUCUAACCCCUGCAGCAUACUACCUUGUUCCUUCUGCAUAGCACUUUGUACUUCAUUUGGCACAUUUGCCUCCUGCUCAAUCUCCUG
Molecule: long non-coding RNA, 542 nt
Filed under: Nicotiana benthamiana
Lineage: Eukaryota; Viridiplantae; Streptophyta; Magnoliopsida; Solanales; Solanaceae
Description: long non-coding RNA (NBEN_LNC039993)
Source: RNAcentral